GUCACCCAGGCUGGAGUGCAGUGGCGUGAUCUCAGCUCAAUGCAAGGUCCGCCUCCUGGGUUCACCCCAUUCUCCUGCUUCAGUCUCCUGAGUAGCUGGGACUACAGAUGCCCGCCACCACGCCUGGCUAAUUUUGUUUUUGUACUUUUAGUAGAGAUGGGGUUUCACCGUGUUAGCCAAGAUGGUCUUAAUCUUCUGACCUUGUGAUCCGCCCACCUCGGCCUCCCAAAGUGUUGGGAUUACAGGCAGGAGCCACCGCACCUGGCCUCAACUUCUUUUUUAACUUAUGAAUUGUUUAUUUCCGGAAUUUUCCAUUUAAUAUUUUUGAACCACAGCUGACUGAGGCAUGCACCAGAUCUGUCAUUUCUGGAAUCUUGUGCGAAUUGUGUAUCAACUUGAGGGGCCACUCACGGACUUGUCAUCUGCUCUCACCAGGACUUCAGAGGAUCUCAAUGCUGCUGUUCUCACAGCCUGACAGGGACAAAAUAACAGGAAACUUGCAAAUUUGUCUUUAUUCUUGCUUAUGCUAUAAAAUUGAAGAGUCUCUGCAUGGUCUGUUCCAGGCAUCUCCCUGAGCCAGCCCAAGGAACUGCCUUUAGGUCUCUUCCUUAUCCCUUCUCUCUCUCACGCCUUCUUUUGUUCCCUGCCCUUCUUCCUGGCCUCUCUCUCUUACUUUCAUUUCUUCUGGCAAUUAGUGGACAAGCCAGAAGAAAACAAUUAAGAUGGUCAUCAAUUUGGGCAGUAUUCUGUUCACACUUAUUUGAGACUUGUUCUGUAGUAUAUGUGAACAUACUCAGGACGUAAAUGAAAUAGAAUAGUGAGCCAGAAAAUUGUGAUAAAUAAAGGUGCUUCUACCCAUAUUUUGUUUACAUUCUGGGUGGUGCAUGAGAUUAAAAGCUGUGAGACUUUGCAAAUAGAAUGAGGUAGAUGACUAGUUUUUGCUGUGCAUAAGGUCAACAAUAUCACCCAACAAAUAGCCAGCUCCUUGCCACACUCCCUUCCUUCAUUCUAGUCAUCUAUCUUACAAGCAUAAUUGAAUUAGAUCCUCAUAAAAGUCUUACAAGGCACAUACUACUGAUGGUAGUGGAGGCCUGUCUGGAGCGGCUGCUGCCAUGAUGCUGGCUUCAGGGGGUGAGGCAUGGCCAGGGCUGCACACUCCAAAGAGCCAGCAGGAGCCGGGAAAAGGCAGAAGCCCUGGCAGGGCAGGAACCUUGUGCUCCCUGGGAGCAGCUGCGGCCAUCCAGCUGUGGCUGUGGACCUGGGCAUCCCUGUGCUCUUGGGAGCUGGGAUUGGGCAGGAGCCCUGCCCUUCUGGAGUGUAGCUGCAGCUGCCCAAGCCAUGGCUACGGACCUGGGCGUCCCCUCUUGGGGGCCUGGGAAAGGCCCCCUCCCACCUGCAGGCUUGGAAGUGCCUGCUCCCACUACCUGGCCUCUCCCUGCUCCCUGCACCUACUCUGAUCUUGGAGCAAAGUUGAGGUCGAGCCCAGGAGCUGUUGCAACCUGGUUGGGUGUGUGCACAAUUGGGGCAGCACUGACGCUCCAGCCCCCUGCUGCCUUGGCUGCCUCUGGACUUUGGGCACUGGUAAGCAUGGGAGGGAGCCUGAGUGGGGGCUAAGGGCGGCUCUGCAUGGGCCUUUAGGUGUCCCUCAGCAUGAAUAGCCUGGGUGACAGCAGGAGGCAGACAGGCUCCUGGGUGGAAAGGAGUGGGUCCCUAGUGAAGCUCUACCUUCGAGCUGGGGAAGGCCUGAAGCCUGACGGCCAGGCUGCCGGCCCCACAGACCAGAGUGGGAACUUACGGUACUUUUUCCAGGCCCACCCAUGGCCACCCACGGACCAAUCAGUAGGCACUUCUUCCUCUCUGAAGUCCAUAAAAACCCCAGACUCAGACAGACUCAAGGAGAUGACAGGACAACCUGCCUGCAGAGAGGAGCUCCCCACUCCAGGGUCUCCUCUCUGUUGAGAACUGAACACUCAUCGGGACGCCCUGCCUGUGGAGAGGAGCUACCCAAUGCAGGUCUCCUCUGAGCUGUUCUGUCACUCAAUAAAGCUCCUCUUUGCCUUGCUAACUGUCCACUUUUCCCUGUACCUCAUUCUUCCUGGAUGCAGGACAAUAACUCAGGACUCACUGAAUGGUGGGGCUGAAAGAGCUGUAACACAAACAAGGCUGAAACACACCCCUUGCUCACCACACUGUGGGUGACAAGGAGAGAAGAGAGAAGGAGAGAAGAGUUGCGGCCCUUCAGGGAGCCCAGACCUAGGAUCUCCCCCAGCCAGGGCUGUGACACCCUCUUUGGGGCUCUGCGGUUCCUGGUGUCUUCAAGCUUCUGAGCACCACU
Molecule: long non-coding RNA, 2335 nt
Filed under: Homo sapiens (human)
Lineage: Eukaryota; Metazoa; Chordata; Mammalia; Primates; Hominidae
Description: HSALNT0211714
Source: RNAcentral